UCAUUUUCAUUUCACUUUGUUUUCCAUCAUUCUUAUUUCAUCAUCACUUUUAUUUCACCUUCGUCUUUUCUAGAAGACCUAGCGACAAUCGAGCUAAUCUUCACUUCCUCUCUUUCUCUCCAUUGCUUGUUUGACCAGAGGGCAGGCUGAGCCUUGAGCCAUCGUGCCAGUCUUGUCGUCGAGCAGUAUUGCCGCUGUGCCGGUCUGAGUUAUCGUGCUUAUCUUGCUGCCGCGUCAGACUAGCCGUUGUGCCAGACUAGCUGUCGUGCCAAUCUUGUCGUCGAGCAGUAUUGCUGUCGUGCCGGUCUGAGUUAUCGUGCCCGUCUUGCUGCCAUGACAGACUAGCCAUCAUGUCAGACUAGUUGAUGCUGGUUCUGCCAUCGUGCCAGUCUGAGUUACCGUGCCCGUCUCGCUACCACGUCAAAUCAGUCACUGUACUGGUCUAACUACUGUGCCAGCCUAGCCGCCUAGUCGAACUUCUUCUCUCAUUUUCACUUCUUCUAUCUCUUUAUAACAUGGCUGGGUCCUAUGACCCACACCUCUGUAUUUUUUAUGUGUGUGUGUUUGCAGGAAAAGAGAAACAGGUCAAGGGAGGCGAUUACAAACCGACCGCAGGCCAGGGGGCAUUCCAACGUGAUCUAAGAGGGUGCCCAGGCGAGAUAACCCAAGUGUGUCAUGGACCCAAAUGAGGCAACAUUCUUGAUGUUACGAAUCUUCCAAAGCAUGGGGAGGUUGGGCCUAGUACUUUUACUGGAGUCAUCCUUACAAGACAUAGUCCCUGAGUUACAAUGGCUUUCGAGUAUCACUUUUGUGAGUGACAAUGCCCUCUUCCAUCGUCGCGAGACUUAGGAUGGAGAGUCGGUAGUGCAAGAUGACAGUGUGCCCAUGUUUCAUUUCCUUCACUAUGAUUAUGGUUCUCACUUAGACCUUCCUACUCUCGAGGACACAAGGUUUGAUGUGGUCUUCACACGGGCUUCAAUUCCAAGGCGAGCACCAGUAACUAAGAGGGCUACUAUGAUCGUUCUUCAAACACCACGAGGGCCCUUCUAGAGACAUGGAGUUAUGUAAGUAACUCGUGGCUCUUCGUUCAUGGAGAGGUAGGGAUCUCUCUUCUCAACGUCCACUUUAUGAGUGGCCUAUGUAUGUUAGGCGAGAUGUACAAUAAGUUUGUACCCAGCAAUUUGGCGAUCUUUGGUGACCAUUUAGUGAACGGCGAAGCGCCUCUUCCAGGGCUUCACGAGUUGUUCAAGGUCUACCAGUUAUUACUUAGUUGCUACCAUUUGGCGCUUGUAACCUCAAUAUUUUAUUUGUAUGCAUUUGCUUUAUUGUGUUGCAUAGGCACUCUAUUAUAGCGUUGUAUCUUUAGGAGCUUGUAUUCCAUUUUCCUAUAAAUUAAUAGAAAAAUGGG
Amborella trichopoda is the source of this 1408-nucleotide non-coding RNA. Lineage: Eukaryota; Viridiplantae; Streptophyta; Magnoliopsida; Amborellales; Amborellaceae. The record is from RefSeq and is a predicted model, not a curated record.